UGAGGAAUAUUGGACAAUGGAGGAGACUCUGAUCCAGCCAUGCCGCGUGCAGGAAGACUGCCCUAUGGGUUGUAAACUGCUUUUAUACAGGAAGAAACACUAGUACGUGUACUAGCUUGACGGUACUGUAAGAAUAAGGACCGGCUAACUCCGUGCCAGCAGCCGCGGUAAUACGGAGGGUCCGAGCGUUAUCCGGAAUCAUUGGGUUUAAAGGGUCCGCAGGCGGUCGAUUAAGUCAGAGGUGAAAUCCCAUAGCUUAACUAUGGAACUGCCUUUGAUACUGGUUGACUUGAGUCAUAUGGAAGUAGAUAGAAUGUGUAGUGUAGCGGUGAAAUGCAUAGAUAUUACACAGAAUACCGAUUGCGAAGGCAGUCUACUACGUAUGUACUGACGCUCAUGGACGAAAGCGUGGGAGCG
This 417-nucleotide ribosomal RNA is filed under the name uncultured Bacteroidota bacterium. RNAcentral describes it as "bacterial SSU rRNA". It matches the Rfam family "Bacterial small subunit ribosomal RNA", at positions 355 to 770 of the family's 1533-position model. Lineage: Bacteria; Pseudomonadati; Bacteroidota. The record is from RNAcentral.